CGAUAAAAUAAUUAGAAGGAAACAAGAGAAACCUCAAUGCUCUAUAAAAAGUCUCCAAAAACUAUCGGCGGAAAAUAAUAUUAAAGGUGUUAGUUAUCCGUGUUCAAAGAAAAGGUGUUAGUUAUCUAUACUAUUAAAAAAGAAUCAUUCUGAAAAAAUCUAUUUAAACAAAGUUGUUGCACCUAUUCAUUACCUAUUUAUUAUUAGGGAAAAUUGUUUUUUUAGAACAAAAAAAUGGUAACUAUGUCCCUUUAUACUAAUCUAUACUACUUUAUGUCCCAUUAGACUAAUUUUUUUCAAAAUGGCAGUAAUGCCCUUAAAAUUGUAAUUUUUUAUUUCUUUUUUAAUUUUUUUAUUUUUUUGUUCCUUUUUCGUUUUUUUAUUUUUUCAAAAAAAAAUCGAUUUUUUUUUCAAAAUAUAAAAGUGAAUAUUCUCAAAUAUUUUGUUUCCAUAUUUUUAGGAACUGAUUUCUUAUCCGUAGAAUACAACUAAUAUGUAGAAAUCGGUUUCUACAGUUUUUUAGAAUUAUAGUAAUGUUUAGAGUUUGAUUUCUACAUGUUUUAGAUUUAUAGUAAAUCUGUAGAAGUCGGUUUCUACGUGUUUUAGAUUUAUAUUAUGUGUAGAUUUUGAUUUCUAAAGAUUUUAGAACGAUAGGUUAAGCGCGGAAUGUGUAUUCUAAAUAUUUUUAGAAUACUCCUAUUUACGUAGAUCACGUAUUCUAAACAUUGUAGAUUCAAUGAAAAAGUGGAUUUCGUUUUCUACUUCGUAGAAUGUCAUUUCUACUUUAUUUAGAACAUAAUAUGAAAUUUAUAAUUUUAACUUUUUUAUAAUUAGAAAAAAUAUCACUAAGUUCAUAUAGGUAUUUUAUCAAAACUUACAAUUUUUCCAAAAUUUUUUUGUUUGUAAAACUAUUUAUUAAAUUUAUUUUCAAAAAUAUUAAAGGGUAUUAUAGGAAAAUAUGACACAAAAUAUAGAUUAGUCUAAAGAGACAUAGUUACCAUUUUUUUGCUCUAAAAAAACAGUUUUCCCUUAUUAUUUUUGGUCAUGUCCUUAUUUUUCUCUAACUAUACAAUAUUUUUAAUGAAAUCAUUUAUUGCUUCUCAGUUUUAAGAAACUGAAUAUAAAAUGAUAUUUAUGAAUAUAAAAUAGACUCUAUGAAUUCAGUAAUGGAUCUUUUUUUAUUUUAUCAAAUUAACUUUUCGUAGAAUUUUUU
RNAcentral lists this long non-coding RNA (1213 nucleotides) under Brassica rapa (field mustard). Its description in RNAcentral is "long non-coding RNA (BRAP_LNC001338)". The record is from RNAcentral. Lineage: Eukaryota; Viridiplantae; Streptophyta; Magnoliopsida; Brassicales; Brassicaceae.